CAGGUCAAAGUAACAUCCAGUCAGACUUUGCAUGGCAUGAGGCAGAAACAGGAUUUUCUAGCACGGAGCACUCAGGUUUUGACGUGGGCAGCAGAGUGCUAUGAAGUCAACUGCUGUAGCUUCAUUCUAUGUUCCAGUGCCACCCACCACACGAAAGGGCACCAUUAAGGCAGCAAAUGGAACAGUGACUGCUCUAUUGUGGAUGAGGCCCUCUGGCAGGAGAAGACACAGCAUCCUGUUGUGGCAACAGCCACCAGCACUGCAAAGUGGUGUGUGGCAAGGCUGGGUUGAUGGAGGCUCCAGAAGUCCCAUACCUGGGCAGCUGAAAGGAAGACUCGGCACAGACAGACAUCUACCCGUGAUGAUUCCACAAUCUGCAACACCCCCCGUCAGUGAUGCUGCGCUCUUGCCAAGCGGGGCUUCUCAGGAAAUCUGGAGGUCACAAGUUCCAGGCUAUUCUGGAUCGGUCACAGGGCACAUAAGUCAUCGGGCCAAUAACUUCAAGAGACAUCCAAAAAGGAGAAAACACAUUCGCCCUUCACCGCCACCGCCACCGAACACUCCAUGUCCUAUUGAUUUGAUUGACUUUGGGGAUCUCCAACCGCAGAGGUCUUUCCUAGAACUCCUCUUUAAUGGGUGCAUUCUCUUUGGGCUGGAGUUCAGCUAUGCCAUGGAAACAGCCUAUGUUACCCCUGUUCUGCUUCAGAUGGGGCUUCCAGACCAACUGUAUGGAAUGGUGUGGUUCAUCAGCCCUAUAUUAGGGUUCUUGCUACAGCCUUUGCUGGGGGCCUGGAGUGACAGAUGCACAUCAAGAUUUGGGAGGAGAAGACCUUUCAUUCUGGUCUUAGCAGUAGGAGCGUUGCUUGGGCUCUCGCUUAUGCUGAAUGGCAAAGAUAUAGGGAGUGCCCUGUCUGACACUGCAAAUAACCACAAAUGGGGGAUCAUCCUUACGGUCUGUGGUGUUGUGCUCAUGGACUUCAGCGCAGAUUCGGCAGACAAUCCCAGUCAUGCCUACAUGAUGGAUGUGUGCAGCCCAGUGGAUCAAGACAGGGGCCUCAACAUCCACGCUUUAUUAGCAGGUCUUGGAGGUGGCUUUGGUUAUGUUGUUGGAGGAAUACACUGGGAUAAAACCAGUUUUGGAAAAGCUGUGGGAGGGCAACUUCGAGUCAUCUAUGUCUUCACCUCAGUUAUACUGACUAUUACUACUGUGCUGACUCUAAUCAGCAUUCCAGAAAGACCCUUAAGGUCCUUUAGCAGGAAGAAAAAGGUGAUGAAGAGUCCAAGUCUUCCUCUCCCUCCUUCUCCACCUUUCUUCUUUGAGGAGGGUGUAAAUGAAAACUUUGCUUCUCAUAACUCAGCUCACUUAUAUGAAAGUUUUACAAGUCCCGUUUCCCCCCUCAGCCCACUCACACCCAAAUAUGGCAGUUUUAUCAGCAGAGACAAUUCCUUGACGGGAAUUAAUGAGUUUGCAUCAUCAUUUGGGACUUCAAAUAUUGACAGUGUGCUUAUAGACUGUUUUACAGGCGGGCAUAGUAGUUAUUUAGCACUUCCAGCUAGCUUGCCCAGGCAGCCUGUCAGUGUCAGCUUUCCUCGGGUACCUGAUGGCUGUUACCAAGGAGAAAACGGAGUUCUGGAGCAAGGGGAGAGCAGCAUAACACCGGGGCCUGACGGCGAGCCGCUAAGGGUGGGCUCACUGGAUGCGAUAAAGCCACGGUCAUCGGGGAUCCUGAAAAGACCUCAGACCUUGGCCAUUCCAGAUAUCGUAACAGGACACUGUCCAGAAAAUAAUAGAAGAAGAAAUGUAACCUUCAGCCAACAGGUUGCUAACAUCUUGCUGAACGGCGUUAAGUAUGAGAGCGAGCUGAAUGGAUCAAGCGAGACCUUGGAGCAACCACUCUCUGUGAAACUUCUUUGUUCGACCAUCUGCCAGAUGCCCAAGGCUCUUCGUAACCUCUGCAUCAACCACUUCCUAGGAUGGCUUUCAUUUGAGGGGAUGUUACUCUUCUACACCGACUUCAUGGGAGAAGUAGUGUUUCAAGGGAAUCCGAAAGCGCCUCACAACUCAGAUGAGUAUCAGAAGUACAACGCUGGGGUCACCAUGGGCUGCUGGGGAAUGUGCAUCUAUGCGUUCAGUGCUGCUUUCUAUUCAGCUGCACUGGAGAAGCUGGAGGAGCGGUUCAGCACGCGGACGCUGUACUUUGUGGCGUAUUUGGCCUUCGGGCUGGGCACAGGGCUGGCCACGCUCUCCAGAAACAUCUAUGUGGUGCUGUCACUGUGUGCUACCUACGGCAUCCUCUUUGCCACGCUCUGCACGCUGCCCUACUCCCUGCUUUGCGACUACUACCAGAGCCGUGAGUUCGUAGGCUCGCAGGCGGAGGGCACGCGGCGCGGGAUGGGCGUUGACAUCUCCCUGCUGAGCUGCCAGUACUUCCUGGCGCAGAUCCUCGUGGCCCUGGCCAUGGGGCCGCUGACGGCAGCUGUGGGCAGUGCCAGCGGCGCCAUGUACUUCGCUAGCCUGGUCUCCUUCCUGGGCUGUCUCUUCUCCUCCCUCUGCAUCACCUACGAGCUGCCACCCACCGAGGAGCUGGCACACACUGAGGAGCAGCGCCCGCUCUUGUCCCGUGCGCGGAAUGAAUAAAUGGGAGAAGCUGCCACAGCCUCUGCUGCCUCAUUGCGUCGCCCUCGGCCUCCCCGUCACAGCAUGGUGGGCUCAUGCGCCCCCGGGAUGGCAGCAGUGGGCAUGGCAAACCGAGAAGCUCUGCGCUGGCUUCGCCGACCUUUCCCCUGCCUGUGGGAGGGUGAGGGGCAAGUCAGCAGCACCUGGCACCACUCAUCCCUCCCCAGAGGUGGCAAAGGCACGUCUGUGCCCCUGGGGCCACGGCAACAGGAGGUGGUGGUGUCAGCGUGGGGCCAUUCCCUCCAGCUUCCCCAGGGUGUCCCCCUGACCGCUGAUGUCUGGCCUGAGGCAGGGGACCUGGCAGGCCGGUGCCUGGGUGACCAUGAUCUCUCAGGCAACAGCGAGCUGCAGGGCUGCACACGAUGCUGUGGGCACCUGGGGCCAUGGUGCUCUGCCAGCUUCGUGGGCAGAAGGUGCCAUCUCAUGGCCAGGCCCAGGCCCCAGUCACCAAGGCAGCGGUGACUCCUGUGAGGCCCUGGGGAGUGGUGGGGCCAACCUGCGGGUCCCGGCCUCUGCCCGUGGUAGGCCUGACUCUGGAGGUUGCUUUACAAAACUUUGGAAAGGCUGAGAACGACUGGUCUUGCUCUGGUGGUGUAAGCACUCCACCUAGCACUGCAGCCGUGCUUCUGGGCGCGUAGAGCUGCCACCAGCAGAACUGCUCCAGGAGGCUGCUGUGGGGUGAAAACACAGCAGCCUGGCUCCCAAACCCUGCUCUGUAGGUUCUGGCUGUGGUCCGUGGUGAUGGUUGCCAAUAUGUGUGUAUUUCUUUCCACAUGGGACUUUUAAUGAAGGCUACAAGGGCUUGUGAUGACUUUGCAGGAGGAUGGGCAGUUGUCCAUAACCCAGCUUUGGGGAGAAGGGUCUCUUUGUGUCAGCUCCCCUUGGGUAGAAACUUACUCUCAAAGUUACGUUGGGAUUUGAAGAAAAAUCAUUUGUGUGAAAGCCUGCAGCACAUCAUCAGUCAUUUUUCAUACAGCUGUACCUUGUGACAUUUUAAAAUCUGCAUGGGCAUCAGUGAUUAAGUACAUGUCAGCUAGUGCUGCAUCUUCCAUAUCUCAUUGAAACUAUUAAAAGGGCUUUGGGUUUCAUUUUCUCAGAGAUUUCUUAAUUAUUCUGAUUUUGGAAGUUGGUAAGUGUGUGAGAAUUUUGUACAAGUUCCAGUUAAGCCCAGGAGACUUUGGAGAGCAAAGAUGAGAACAGAAAUAAAACUGUUUCUUAGAAGCCCUGUCAGCCUGCCUCCGUAUUUGGGUAGGCAGCCAACGUUUACCAAGGCUGAUGGGCAUUUUGGUGUUUACAUGUGCUGUGCAUGGCACCCCUGCAGAGGCUGGUUUUUGCUCACCUGAUCUUCAGGUCCAAAAGAAAGGUUUUCUCUGGAGGGUCACUCCUUUUAGAUGAGUUGUACUUGACUGUUCACUUAAGUUUAUGAUGAUGCUUGAUCCACGAUGCCAAGAUGAAAUAACUCGUGUGAUCUGUAGCUGUUGUGGCUUGCUACACUCCAGUGCUGAAAGCAUAAUGCACAACUUAUAAGAACCUCUUGUUUUUAUCAUCUGCCCCCGCGUAUUACUUUUUUUUUAAUUUGAGAAGCAAGUUUCAUGCUACUUAAAUGGAGGAACACUACUGAAGUUAUGAAGUGAAGCACUUGGAGGUAAAGGACUGUCAGACUGCUGAGUCUGUUAAUCUUUCUUUUCUUUGUUUGGGCCUAUGUAGUAUCAUAUCUGCAGGAAUAUCUGUGAUGCGCCAUUUCCUUGAUUAUGGGACAGCUGUCUCCAGGAAUGUUCAGGAUGAAGCUGGAACAAAGUAGCAUGAGAAACUGUACAUUUGUUACUUCUGAUUUCUGACAAUCUAAAGACAUGACUUUGGAGAAAUUUUGUUUUCUUGUUGGUCUGCUGUGUAACCUUAAUUUCUUUUCCUUAUCUUACCAAACUUUUAAACUCCAAAAUGUGUUUGAGUUUGGGGUUUUUUUUGUGUGUCUCCUGCCAGCUAAUGCAGUACUGGUUCUUUGUUUUCUCCUCUUAAGUUUUGUACCCAGCAUUAUUGCACUAAAUGGAUCAUGAGCACUUCCCUUUUCUAGGUCGCUAGAGUUGCAGGUGAUUUUGUUGCAAGCGAGGAUUUUCAAAAGAUUCAUAGAAUUGAUGAAAUCAAUGUAUUUGAUGGUAACGUUUGUCUCUGCUUCCAUCUGUAAAUAAUAUUACAAAAUAAGUUUAUAUAGUUACAAAACUAUUGCUACGCUCAUAUGCAUUGCCCAAUAGAAUAUACAUUACUUCUUCUGUUUUAUUGGAUAAGGACAUUAUUUUGCAUAUGUAUUUAUGUAGUAUUUAUACAUACAUAGGAGUUUUAAGUCAGCAUCAACGUAUGUUAAUUUGGGGCUUUGAGCAAUACUGGGGGUGUCUGGAAAAAAACCCAGAUCCUGUCACCAUCAUGCAGAGCUGGAAGUUGCACCAAAUCCAUAGACAUAACUUUAAAAAGAGGCAUUGCUUACUUGCUUAUUCUUUUCCUUUGUCAUACGUUUUGUGUUUUACAGAUGUUACUGUAUGUGGUCACUGUUGAACUGUGAGCUGCAAAGUGACAUUUACCUUUUGGAAUCCAAAUGCUUCAAAUAUUCUGUCUAAAUCUGCACGCUGCUGUUUAGAAGAUCCAGGAAUAGCUUUCUUGAACAAAGGAUAACAAAUUUUGUUGCAAUAGCCAAUGGAACAGCCAACAGAGGAAAUCACAGCGUCAGAGCAGAAAUGAAGAUUUUGGUUUGUG
Molecule: RNA transcript, 5422 nt
Organism: Falco peregrinus (peregrine falcon)
Lineage: Eukaryota; Metazoa; Chordata; Aves; Falconiformes; Falconidae
Gene: SLC45A1
Gene name: solute carrier family 45 member 1
Exons: 12
Source: RefSeq, a predicted model, not a curated record